AAAUGAGUUUGCUGUGUGUUUUUUUUUUUUUUGAAGGUUAAAUGAAAGGGCCUUUAAACUACAGAGUUCUUUCUUUUAAUCCCCUCCCGUCCAAUAAAAUAUAGACAAGCAUAUAAACCUAGCUGGGAAUUAUGAACCUUAAAGGGAAGGCUUCCCUAGCUGGGAAGUUCUAACAUGGAUCCCAACAGAAAGAAGAGACUGGGUUCUUUCUGGGACCUCUCAGGAGGCAGGUCCCAGCUCAGGACCAGAAGCCAGAGCCUGGGCUGAGUGGCUGCUAUGAGGAAUGGAGAGGAGAUCCAACUGUGAGCACCGGGAGCUCAAACCCCAAAGCCCGGGAUCCUGCAGAGUCCUGGCGAGCUCCUUCCUCCUGGGCACCAAGCUCAGCAUCCCUGCCCUUGUUGCGUGGCAACCACAACUACGGGGCUGCAGAUGUGAAACUGAAUUCUGAGAUUUCACAUCGAAAGCCCUGUCUUUGCAUAAUGAAAACUGCCACCUGUAAAGGUGAUACUUAAAGGUCACAGCUGAAAAGGUCCUUUAUAAUUUUUUUUUAAGCGAACGUCAUUCCUUGUUAUGUGUCUCUAAAAACACUGCCCAGUGUUAAUCCCCUUCCUUGCCUCUCCAUCCCCUUCUGCUUCUGCCCUGCCCUAUCCUGAUUAUUUCAACCAUUUUCUACUUUGGUCAGUUUCCUAGGGAUUUGUUUCAAAUUUUCCAUUGCUAGGUAGACACCAGGCACUGGGCUGGCUGUUCCUUGGGUUAAUUCGCAGCCAAUGACUGAGAGGGGCUGACAAAGCUGAAAUUCACCACAGGAGUUUCUUCCCCUUCCUUCCCUUGUCAUGGCUCUGAUCUCCAUUGAUGUCUGUCUGGAGGGUGGGUUAAAAAAAAGGAAAUCUCACCCUAUGAAAAACCAAGCUGGGGAAUCAUUAAAGUCCUGUUUAAAACAAUGGCAGAGGGGCUGAAAGUCAGGGGCUGAUGGUAGCUGUGGAAGGUAGGGAAGAAGGCAGGAACUCUUUCAGAAUAAACCCUUUUCUAUUAGAGGGCACAGAAGCUGACAUCCUGUAGGAUCAUGAAUGGGGGGGCGGUGGCAGUGAGGGAGGGCUGGUGGCUCCAAGAAAUGGAUGUCUGGGUUGCUUAGCGCCAAAAGGGUAGGUGCCAUCAAGGAUGGAAUUUGAUGCUUGGAAGCCACUCAGUGGGCCCAGGCAACUCUGGCCUAUGCCUUCAGACUCACUCUUGCUGUGAGAUUGGGACUGCUGGUCUCAGCAGCACAGACUGAGAAUGGAGGCACUGUGUCACCUGCUGGCCCGGAUGGAAGCCAACUCAGAAAGGCCAAAGCCAGAAGCACCAGCUCCAGUGUGAAACUGCGGUGCAUAAUGCUGCCUACCCCACACCUGAGAUCUUUUCUCUAGAGUUUGGGAAUGUUUCAACUUCUCCCCGCACAGAUGCUGGGCCUCCUCGGUUGGAGGUCGCCCAGGAAAGGUAAAACAUUAUUCAUUUACACAAAAGGAACACACAGCAAUUCUCUGUGUUUUUGAUCUUUAAAAGUCCAUACUAUUACUUUGGUGGGGGGGUGGUGGUGGUGGAGGGUCAGAGGGUUGGGAAGGGUGUAGGGAGAUGAUUCAUUCCCUUGGCUCCUGUGUUGUCUCUGACCUCCAAGUGGAUGUCCCGCAGGUCUUGCCUAGUGUCAGGCAGCCAGGAUAGAACUGACCAGCUAGGUUACUGGGCAGGAGAGCUUCACCCAAGGGCUCCUUAUAUCAAGAGUAUUCUUUGAGAGGCAUAAGUCUAUUUUGGAUUAAAAAAAAAAACCCAUGUGUUCUUCAGGCCAAACUGCUUUCCAUCCCAUCCAAGAACGAUCCUGCUGCAUGGGAGCCUGCCACCGACUCCCAGGGACCAGGCAUCGUGGGGCCCGAGGAGCACUACAUCUGACUCAGGGGGGCUCCGGACCCAGUGGACAAACAGGCCAAGGUGCGCUGUUGCAGCAGUGUGACUUUUUUUUGGAAACAGGAAGAGCACUUAGCGAAACGUAUCCUCUGAUCCCAGUGGAAUGACGUAAGGCGAAACCUCCUCUCCCAAGCAGUUGCGCACGCCUCCUUCUGCCAGGCAGAAACCAGGCUAUGCGCUGCUCCGAUUCUCAUUGCAGUGAAGACCUUCUUGGUUUCAUUAACUCGUGCAAUAUUCUGAAGACUCCGUGAGUAAGGCUAUAAAGGUGCCAUGAGCUUAUCAGUCCAACAAGGUUUCCACAGGGGAUAGCUCAGACUCAGAAUUCAUUUUCCACACUUAAUGUAAAUGUAACCCAUAAAAGUCCCAUUUUUCUAAGAAGCCCAGCUCAGAAGGAAGCAUUUGGCUUCCCCUCCUGCUCUCCCAGAACCUCCUGUGAGUGGUAAUGAUGAUGGUAAUUAGGCAGACGAACCAGAUGCAAGGGGCUUCUACCUCUUGCUGCUACUCUUCCCUCCUCUUAAUGCUUCCCUGGCCCAUUGGCUGCUGCAUCUCCCUGGGCAUGCCCCCCAGGGGUGGGUUGUACCCAUUCCCUAGAGGGCAGCCACCUCUUCCCGAGGGCCUCAGGCAUAGGUCUUCACAGGGACAACUGUAGCCUGGGCUCCCUGAUGUGUGUGAGCAUAGGCCUGGGGAACCGACCCCAGUCCUGGGGCAGCAGAGGGGCAGGUGAGGGAGGGGGUUCGGUGACACUGCCAGGCCACACCAAAUUACCUCUUUUCUCCUUUCUCCUCAGUGUCUCUUUAAAACCCUGGACGGACUCCUCUAGAGGGGAAGCUGUUUUAGAAGUACUUCACAGAAGGAAUUUCCUGAAUGCCUCACCUGCUGCAUCCCAGCUGUGCUACUGGCCCAUGUAUGGGAGGCAGAGAAGCCUUCAGGAACUGGUGAGAAGACGCUUGGUUUAUGCCUUCCUCUCUUUGGCUGACUUUUUCUUAAGCAUCUUUCCAGAAUCAAAGGCCACCAAGCACCUCUCUCCAUACUCCUAUUUCUCAGUGGUGGAGCUGAGCAGUGGAGGGAAGAUACCCAAAGUCAUGGGGAGAAAGUUUCACCCAGGAAGGCAGGCUGGUACCUUUGCCGCCACUGCCAUCCUUUUGCCACAGGUGGCCUGGCCCUCCCUGGACCUUGUGCCCAGGUGGAGGGUGGCUGAGCCGUGCUGGUUCUCACAUCUGACUUUGGGAGAGAGGAAGAGAUGAAUAAUAAGGAACAUCAUGGGAAGACCGACCAACCACAGACAUCCUGGGUGCCUUUACCUUUUGGGAAGGAUGAGGCUCUUAGUCCCAGGAUGUUAUGUCACCAGACUGGGGGAAAGGACCUGGGGGACACUUUCUCCAUCCCAUCAUGAGGCUGGCACCAACAACUACACAGGAUUUGCAAAAGGGGUUGGGGGUUUCAUUUAGCAUCAAAAUAUAAAGCUUGGACAGGAGUUUGGGGCAACUUGAAAAAAGGUGCUGAG
RNAcentral lists this long non-coding RNA (3439 nucleotides) under Canis lupus familiaris (dog). RNAcentral describes it as "lncRNA (ENSCAFG00000053434.1)". The record is from RNAcentral. Lineage: Eukaryota; Metazoa; Chordata; Mammalia; Carnivora; Canidae.